UUGACAACCCUAAAGAUGGAAGUCCGGUUUAUCCACAGAACAGGUACAUCAUAGGCAGCAGCCAUAUAAGCUUCCUGCACACACCAGUAUGCCUCGACUCUGAUUUGGAGGCACAACCUCUGAGGAUGAAAGAGUAGCUUGAGUUUAAUAACCCGUUUAGUUCCUGGCCUCU
Chelonoidis abingdonii (Abingdon island giant tortoise) is the source of this 172-nucleotide unclassified non-coding RNA. The record is from Ensembl. Lineage: Eukaryota; Metazoa; Chordata; Testudines; Testudinidae.